Molecule: transfer RNA, 92 nt
Filed under: Chloroflexota bacterium
Lineage: Bacteria; Bacillati; Chloroflexota
Also listed under: 1 other name
Description: tRNA-Ser
Rfam family: tRNA
About the family: Transfer RNA (tRNA) molecules are approximately 80 nucleotides in length. Their secondary structure includes four short double-helical elements and three loops (D, anti-codon, and T loops). Further hydrogen bonds mediate the characteristic L-shaped molecular structure. tRNAs have two regions of fundamental functional importance: the anti-codon, which is responsible for specific mRNA codon recognition, and the 3' end, to which the tRNAs corresponding amino acid is attached (by aminoacyl-tRNA synthetases). tRNAs cope with the degeneracy of the genetic code in two manners: having more than one tRNA (with a specific anti-codon) for a particular amino acid; and 'wobble' base-pairing, i.e. permitting non-standard base-pairing at the 3rd anti-codon position.
Source: RNAcentral
GGGAAGGUACUCAAGUGGUUAAGAGGUCUGUUUGCUAAACAGAUAGGUCAGGUAAACCUGGCGCGUGGGUUCGAUCCCCACCCUUCCCGCCA